RNAcentral lists this ribosomal RNA (431 nucleotides) under uncultured bacterium. RNAcentral's name for it is "partial 16S ribosomal RNA". It matches the Rfam family "Bacterial small subunit ribosomal RNA", at positions 338 to 795 of the family's 1533-position model. The record is from RNAcentral.
CCUACGGGAGGCAGCAGUGGGGAAUAUUGCACAAUGGGCGCAAGCCUGAUGCAGCAACGCCGCGUGAGGGACGACGGCCUUCGGGUUGAAACCUCUUUUAGUAGGGAAGCGGUACCUGCAGAAAAAGCACCGGCUAACUACGUGCCAGCAGCCGCGGUAAUACGUAGGGUGCAAGCGUUAUCCGGAAUUAUUGGGCGUAAAGAGCUCGUAGGCGGUUUGUCGCGUCUGCUGUGAAAACUGGAGGCUCAACCUCCAGCCUGCAGUGGGUACGGGCAGACUAGAGUGCGGUAGGGGAGAUUGGAAUUCCUGGUGUAGCGGUGGAAUGCGCAGAUAUCAGGAGGAACACCGAUGGCGAAGGCAGAUCUCUGGGCCGUACUGACGCUGAGGAGCGAAAGCAUGGGGAGCGAACAGGAUUAGAUACCCUUGUAGUC